GUCUCAUUAGUAUAUUAGUAUGUUUGACUUCCAAUCAGAUGGUUCUUGUAGCUAGUCAAGAAUGGGAUA
This 69-nucleotide transfer RNA is filed under the name Archaster typicus. RNAcentral describes it as "tRNA-Gly". It matches the Rfam family "tRNA". From Rfam's summary of the family: Transfer RNA (tRNA) molecules are approximately 80 nucleotides in length. Their secondary structure includes four short double-helical elements and three loops (D, anti-codon, and T loops). The record is from RNAcentral. Lineage: Eukaryota; Metazoa; Echinodermata; Asteroidea; Valvatida; Archasteridae.